Long non-coding RNA from Oreochromis niloticus (Nile tilapia), 187 nucleotides. RefSeq lists it as uncharacterized. The transcript has 2 exons. The record is from RefSeq and is a predicted model, not a curated record. Lineage: Eukaryota; Metazoa; Chordata; Actinopteri; Cichliformes; Cichlidae.
GCUACGAGCGCACAGCUGCUCUUUUCUGCUCCGCGCUGCACGCGCUCAUGAAGGCACUGGCGAGGUGGUUUCCUUCCACUUGUAGCAGGACCAGUACUUCUGCCAGCUCCAAUCAAAGCUCCGGUGACCAGGAGACCUCAGCAUUCGCCAAUUCCUGCUGAAUUACCGCAAACAGAAAGAACUGGCA